GAUUAACGCUGGCGGCGUGCCUAACACAUGCAAGUCGAACGAGGUAGCAAUACCUAGUGGCAGACGGGUGAGUAACACGUGGUCAACCUUCCCUUUAGUGGGGGAUAACUAGCCGAAAGGUUAGCUAAUACCGCAUACGAUCUGCACCCGGCAUCGGGAGCAGAUGAAAGGAGCAAUCCGCUUAAGGACGGGACCGCGUCCCAUUAGUUAGUUGGUGGGGUAAUGGCCUACCAAGACUCCGAUGGGUAGCUGGUUUGAGAGAGCGACCAGCCACACU
Molecule: ribosomal RNA, 277 nt
Filed under: uncultured bacterium
Lineage: Bacteria
Description: partial 16S ribosomal RNA
Rfam family: Bacterial small subunit ribosomal RNA
Source: RNAcentral